CCCCAGUACAUGACAACAAUUUCAGUGACUACAACCCUAACAUCUGCUCGUUGAUGUAAGGCGAGAUCCAUGCGGUCAAAGAAGAUAUCUCUUCUUGAUACUUUGGACACCAGAAGGAGGAAUUUGGUCAUAGGUGGUUGUCGCCUUUUCUAUUUCCAUUUCAGCUUAUUUUUUCAUUUUUAUUUCUUUUAACAAAGGUAAAAAACCUUUGUCCCUUGAAGACUAAAGUAGUUUCAUUAAUACCAAUUUUUAUGGCAAGAAAAGUUAGUGUUGAUGGCUUCCCUUGUUCUAUGUAGCAUUUUGAUAAGUGUCGCAAUAUGACUAUUCUAGUAGGAACCCAGAUCAGAUGCCUUCUUCCUCUUUGUUUUCUUUCUCAUGCACUCAGAUCCAGGUUGAAUAACAUAUUCUCUAAUGGAUAGUGUGAGGUCCCUCCCCCUUGGAGUAUGGUGAAUGGAUUUAGAGAAAAAGCAUAUGCUAGGGUUAGGGCUCGAGGUUUUGGGUGCCCAAAUCGAAGAUAGUUGUCAACCACCGCCAAUCAAGUGGUGGAAUACAUGUGGUAAGGCAAGCUGGUGGCUUAGUUACUCAAGGGAUUGGAGGUGGUGGUGCGGGCAAGAUUUUGAAGGUGACGUUGCAGUCAACCACAAGCGGUGACAGAUGAAAGACAAUAUAUAGGAUGUAGGUGGGAGCAAGAGGUUUACUUAGUGGAUGCAGCUAAGGUCGUAGGAGCAAGGAUGAUGUGCCAUGGCGGUGAGGUCAUUACUAGUCACGAGAUGUGGUGGAGGCCGGCAAGGUCACAUAGAGUGCUUUGUCCUGUAUCUUUCAGAAAUCAGGUGUCAAUUUACUUUAGGUUAUGUUAAGUAAAUGGCAGUGGUGGGUGGCUU
RNAcentral lists this long non-coding RNA (881 nucleotides) under Sorghum bicolor (sorghum). Its description in RNAcentral is "long non-coding RNA (SBIC_LNC015015)". The record is from RNAcentral. Lineage: Eukaryota; Viridiplantae; Streptophyta; Magnoliopsida; Poales; Poaceae.